RNAcentral lists this unclassified non-coding RNA (3891 nucleotides) under Homarus americanus (American lobster). RNAcentral's name for it is "transcription elongation factor B polypeptide 3-like, transcript variant X2". The record is from RNAcentral. Lineage: Eukaryota; Metazoa; Arthropoda; Malacostraca; Decapoda; Nephropidae.
GAACAAUAAUUAUUGGUAAAUGUUAAACUCACAUAAAUUCAGAUUUGGAAAAUAGUCUAAAUCCAGUCGUGCUGACCUCAUAUUCUGGAUUUCUUUCUGCACAUAAAAGUUUCUCUAUGGGUCGCCAAUAGGAGAAUACUUUUUUCCAAAGAAAACAUAUUGUUAAAUGCUAUUUUGUUUUUUAUGAGUGCUGGGUAUACUGUGUGUGUGAGCUUCACUUUGUCUAUGGACUUAUCUUGUAAUAUGAUUUAUUACUUUUUAUAUACAAUUACUGUUCGUGUUGUAAUUUCUGGAAACAUUUAAAUAUUUUUGCAACAAAUUAAAUUUUAUGUUUUAGUGUAAGACGACGAGAAUGUGUUUAUUAAAGUCUCUCAUGUGAUUGUUGUGUGGAGAGGCUCGUAUGGUGUAGGGCAUCAGCUGUUGUGAUGGUGUAAAGAUGUCCAACGUUGCUGAACAGAUUCACCUUUAUCAGCGGAAAUUAGAAAAAUAUGCCAAAGGCAAGGAGACUGAUAAGUUACUCUACUACAUUCACAAACUGAAAUAUUUAGAUGUGACUGUCAGCCACUUAGAAGUUACUGGUGUUGGCCGCUCAGUUAAUUCCCUCCGUCACCAUGAAGGAUUGGUGGGGGAGAAGGCACGAGCCCUUGUCAAUAAAUGGAAGGUGAUGGUGAAAGCUGAAGAAGAUGAAGGUGAAGAUGAGGAAUUUGAGGAAGAGGAAACAGAGGAAGAGGAGGAGGAAGAGAAAGAGAGAGCAAAGCCUGUUGCACCACAGAGGAAUAAGGAAAGGCAUGAGGCAGAGGACCGGGACAGUGAAGGAGGUGAAGAAGACGACGAGGAAGAUGACCGAUUACAGAUAGAAGAAGAUGCAAAUGAAACGGUGGAAUAUGAGGAUGAGGGCGAUGGUUACAAAUAUAUUCCAGAGCCUCUUAUGGGGAGCAAAAUCGGGAGUGGGUAUGGAGACCAUUCACUGGACUCGGAUGAUGAAAAUAUGGACUCUUACAAUCCAGUCACAUCACAGAGAGAUUAUCAGAUGAAUUCAGGCAGUCCAGCCAUUGCAGUAGAGUAUCAUCCCUCUGGUUCUAGGAUGGAUAGCCCUGCGGCCAUCUCAAGUCCAAGCUGGAAGGAUGGAUCACCAAGUGGGUCCUUUGACAGAAAGAAUGGAAGCAGUAGUAAAUCUUCUCCCAAAAAGAGUAUUAAAGAAGACAAAGAGAGAUACAGAGAAAAGGAGAGACACAAAGACAGAGAGAAGAACAAGCAUAAAGAAUCCUCUGGCAGUCAUAAAGAACAUAAACAUAAAGAAAAGCAUAAACAUAGAGACCGAGAGGAGAGAAAAGCAGAGAAAGAAAAAAUAAAGUCUCACAAGGAUAAACACAGAGAUAAAGACAGACACAAUAGUGACAAGACACCAGACAAUAAACAUAACCAGGAAGAAUACAGUGAGAAGUCAAGAUCAGAGAAGGAUUUAGAGGGUGGUAUUGUUAAUGGCUUCAGUACUCCAGAGGUAGAAAGAUCUGUUGAAGGAAGGCAAGAAUCUAGGGACAGUGAUAAAAGGGAUGAUGAAAAACGAAAAGACAAAAGUCACAGGAAGGAAAAUAGUUCAGGUAGAGAUAGUUUACUUAAAGAAAACAGAAUAAAGGAAAGUAGUAGAGAGAGAGAAAGCAGUAGAGAAAAUGAAAACAAAGUGAGAGAAAAAGAAAAGAGGAAGGAGGAAAAACACAGGGAUAAGAACAAAGACAGUAGUGCAUGUGGUAGUAGUAAAAAAGACAAACAUAAGAAAGAUCUAGAUCCAAGGAAGAAUCAAAGAGAACUAGAGGAUUCAGAGAGUGAUAAAAAGAAAAAGAAGAAAAGUGAUGGAGAUGAAGGAGCAGCCUUUGGUGCAGCAUUGAUGGGUCUUGACUCUCCUGUGAAGAGGAAAAAAAAGAAAAAGAAAAAGAGUCUAGAGAAAGAACGGGAUAGUUCAGAUGAUGAACAACCAUCAACCAGUCACUCAUCCAACAAGAGGAUACAUUCAGAUGGAGGAGGACUACCGGAUCCUAAAAAGCCGAGGCUACUAAUACAGUCACCACAGAAGAUACCAACCUUACCCUCCUUAGGACCUUUAAUACCAGAUGAAGCUCCUCUUCUUCCUGAAAUAAACCCCAACUACAAACCCUUACCUCGAGUCCCAAUACGGGAUGAACCAUCUGACUGUAUCACUUCUAAGAUGACAGAAGAAGAGGCUUUGAAUAUUAUGCUUCAGUCAAAAAGUAACAGACGUAGCAAAGUGUACUCAGGCAAGGUGUCUGGCUUAUCUUAUGUGCCGACACUAUAUGAGGUGUGCAUUAGAGUUCUGCAAGAAAAUAUUGAUGCAUUGGAGUUCACUGGAGGAAUUCCCUUUGAAAUCCUUCGGCCUGUCCUAGAACGAGCAUCACCACAGCAGUUACUUAACCUAGAAGAUUACAACCACUAUCUUCUGCAAGACACUAAUGUACUAUGGGAGAUACACUGCAGGAGGGACUUCAGAAACAAGAAAUUAGAGGAGAUGGAAACAUGGCGAGAAAUGUGGAUACGCUGCUUUGAAGAAAGGGAACGAAAGCUGAAGAGUCUGACUCAAAAUCUGCAGCAGAGGAUUUCAACAGCUGUACCAAAGCGAACAACUAAGUUAGCCUUUGUUGAUACAGCCGCCAAAGUACCAAAAAGUGUUGCCCGUGCUCAGGCAAAGUAUGGAACAGCAGCUCCCUCUGCAACUGCAGCGAAACCAGGGAAGGCUAAUGAAGUUGCAGCACGAAAGACAGCUAUGCAAAAUGUCCAGCGUGCAGAGAGAGUGGCUGGUAAUCCUCGACCAGUCUCAGCCAAGAACAAGAAAGUGGCACCACUGAUGGCCAAGACCCGACAAUUCUUCAAGAAAGCUUUCCGCCGUUGAGAUUCCAUCUGAACUAUUAGUGAGCGUCUUCAGCUUUCUUGAUUCAGUCUGAAGACUUGUCAGAUUGUGAUGAUGGCACCGAAAUGAUGUUUAAUAGCCCCGAUGAAGACAAUGAAUAUUCAUAUGAACACCAGCGAGUCUCCCUCUCCACUUGGCUUCCCACCCUAACACGCCUGAUGCUCGUGUCCGCAAAACAUAAAAAAGCCUCGUUUAUAUCCUUCAUUGCAUCAACAUAUCUCGUGUUUGCGAAGCUCUCCAAAGAAAUCUGAUUUAUCUGUCUACAAGUGAAAGUGAUAAUUAUUUACGUUAUAAUGUGAUUAAUUAAUUUGCAAAGAGUUUUAUUGACAUAAUUACUCGCGUGAGAACCAGAGAAUCACCAAGAUCAUCGUGUAAAGUGUAUAGUGUUUCGCUCGAGGAUCCCGUGUCUCUGAAGUGUUAACUAAGGACCCAGUGACUGAAGUGUUAACUAAGGACCCAGUGACUGAAGUGUUAACUAAGGACCCAGUGACUGAAGUGUUAACUAAGGAUCUAGUGUUUCUGAAGUGUUAACUAAGUAUUCAGUGUCUGAAGUGUUAAAUAAGGAUCCAGUGUCUGAAGUGAUAACUAAGGAUCCAGUGACUCUGAAGUGUUAACUAAGGAUCCCGUGUCUCUGAAGUGUUAACUAAGGAUCCAGUGACUGAAGUGUUAACUAAGGACCCAGUGACUGAAGUGUUAACUAAGGAUCUAGUGUUUCUGAAGUGUUAACUAAGUAUUCAGUGUCUGAAGUGUUAAAUAAGGAUCCAGUGUCUGAAGUGAUAACUAAGGAUCCAGUGACUCUGAAGUGUUAACUAAGGAUCUAGUGUUUCUGAAGUGUUAACUAAGGAUCCAGUGUCUGAAGUGUUAACUAAGGAUCCAGUGUAUGUGUGAGGUGUCCUUUAGUGUUCUCCAACAAAGCCUCACGACACGUUGAAUGUGACCCUCGGGGGAGACCAAGUGCCUUACUCCUACUG